This 234-nucleotide long non-coding RNA is filed under the name Elaeis guineensis (African oil palm). Its description in RNAcentral is "long non-coding RNA (EGUI_LNC052439)". Lineage: Eukaryota; Viridiplantae; Streptophyta; Magnoliopsida; Arecales; Arecaceae. The record is from RNAcentral.
AGGUUUUGAAAUUAGUUUCAAUAAAGAUUUUUGUUUCAUUUAUUUAUGAAAUAAAUUGGUUGCACAAGGUUUUUUAAUUGAGAGUCUUUAUCACUUGCAUAUUGAUGCGAAUGUGAACCUAAAAUAAGCAAAUAGUGAGUGUCGUAGGCCAAAAGAAAUUCAGAGUCGUAUCCAGCUUGCGAAUCCUACCUUCGAGGGGCCAAGUUACCCUUGUAGGACAAGGGGAGAGGGCCA